GAUCCUGGCUCAGGAUGAACGCUAGCUACAGGCUUAACACAUGCAAGUCGAGGGGCAGCAUGAACUUAGCUUGCUAAGUUUGAUGGCGACCGGCGCACGGGUGAGUAACGCGUAUCCAACCUGCCCUUUACUCGGGGGAUAGCCUUCUGAAAGGAAGUUUAAUACCCGAUGAAUUCGUUUAGUCGCAUGGCUUGAUGAAUAAAGAUUAAUUGGUAAAGGAUGGGGGAUGCGUCCCAUUAGCUUG
RNAcentral lists this ribosomal RNA (244 nucleotides) under uncultured bacterium. RNAcentral's name for it is "partial 16S ribosomal RNA". It matches the Rfam family "Bacterial small subunit ribosomal RNA", at positions 15 to 248 of the family's 1533-position model. The record is from RNAcentral.